GGCACUUUGGCGGAGUGGUUAAGAAAGGCUCCCCUCCUUCUUUAAUGAACUAAAACUAACCUCUUCUACAGCGCGCGGGCCUGCUAAGCCCGUUCCUUCGGGAGCGAGAGUUCGAAUCUCUCAGGUGUCG
Molecule: non-coding RNA, 130 nt
Organism: Xylariaceae sp. FL0255
Lineage: Eukaryota; Fungi; Ascomycota; Sordariomycetes; Xylariales; Xylariaceae
Source: the annotation of a GenBank genome assembly